CUUUUUAGACAGAGGUCAUACAUAAGACUGGAGGAGGAGGCAGGUCUGCAUUAUGACAACACAUGGUGAUGGCUACAUAUAUGCUGAGAAGCAUCCUUAAUGGCUCAGCAAGAUGAAAUGGAAAAAUCUGUGGAAUGCGAUCCUCUGGAGAAGCCAUUUUACCAGGCUACUUUUUCAGACUUGAUGCCAGGUGCCAUUUUGGGGACGAAUGUGUUCAACAGCUGGCCUGCUUGCAAGAACCCCAUGUGGCUUCUCAAAGGAACAGGUUGUAAGGCCAUUGUGAGAGACCUUCUUCGACUUCUUCACCUGACUCUGUUGAAACUUAAUAGACUGUAUUGCUUUCCUGACACCGCACAGCAGAUUACUGGAUCCUGUUCUCCACAAGUAAAUCGGAGCUGUACCAGUGUGCCUUCUAGUUCUUUUUUAUAGAAUUCAGAUCAACCUGAAUGCUCGCCUUGCUCCAGGUGGCAAACAAGUCUUGCUGUCCCCUUUCAAGCAGCCACAUUGUGCAGUCGUGUCUAUGACUGAAUAAUACUAGUAGAAGCAAUCGCUUUAUAGAUGACAGAAUUCAGUUAUCUAAACUAUGGUGUGAAAAAUCAAGCCUGCAUCUCUUAGCAGACAUACCCAGAAAAGGCUUGCUCAUUGGAGCAUUUACUGAGCACAAGGCACAAUCACAUCCUCUUCAUGUGGGAAACUGUGAUUGGAUAGCUAAAUAGACAAGGCUAUAAGCAAAAGGACGAAUAGCUGUACCGGCUAUAGUUCAGACUGGCCUGGUUAACACAGCAAACAACCACUGCCUAAUUGGCUGCAGGAACCAAACUUGUGGCUGACAGAUCAUCACCAGUAUGUUCAUCAGUUACAAUUAACCAUAUAUUGUGUGGGCUGUCGUUUUAGCCAAUUGUCUUUAUUAGAGGCAGAGCAAAAAGUUGCUGCGUGUACAGAGGCUCUUUUAAGAGACACGCACUGUUCUGCCCCUGUUUCUCAUAUGCCCUCUUCUGUUUUCUCUGCUCCCGCAAAACGUCAGUUCGGAAAAUACUUUUUGGAUUGCUGAGCAGGGAGCUGCUGUGAUGAAAAUGAAAAAGAAAAAUGUAGAGGAGCAGCAGUCAUGGAACAGAGAAAACCUUUCGACAGAGCUGGCUUUAAGAGUAGGCUCCAAACCCACGAGUUUGAGAGCUACAAAUUUACCAGGGACACAUUUGAAUCCCUAGUGUAAAACAGAAGAUGGCAUUGCUGCUAUAAUGUAACAGAAAAUAAUUUAGCAUUAAGCAGCCUCUUUGGACUAAGUACCAGAAACAAACAUUUUGCAGAAAGUAUUCAGAAUUGUAUUUCAAAAUCCCUCAGAAUGAAUAUAAGAGAUUUUAGCACAAGACUUUCUUGUAACGAAUGUCACUGAUGCCUCACUUAUAACUGCAGCAUUUAAAGCUAUGUC
Molecule: long non-coding RNA, 1429 nt
Organism: Crocodylus porosus (Australian saltwater crocodile)
Lineage: Eukaryota; Metazoa; Chordata; Crocodylia; Crocodylidae
Source: Ensembl